UGGAGGCCCGGGGCGCAAUGAAAGCAAAUGUGGGCGCAAGCCGACCGAGUUGGGAUCCCCGGCCCCACCUGGGACGCACCAAUGACCCCCGUCCUAUCCAGCUCUCCGGAUCGGCGGAUGUGAGAGUACACGUUGGGACUCGAAAGAUGGUGAACUAUGCAAAAAGACAGGACAAGGCCAGAGGAACCUCUGUUGGAGGUCCGCAGCGGUUGUGACGUGCAAAUCGAUCGUCAGAUCCGGGUCUAGGGGCGAAAGACCAAUCUAACCAUCUAGUAGGUGGUUCUCUCCGAAGUUUUCCUCAGGAUAUCUGGCACUCGUCGAUCAGUCUCUUCCGGUAAAGCGAAUGAUUAGAGGCCUUGGGGCCGAAACGAUCUCAACCUAUUCUCAAACUUUAAAUGGUUGAGAAGACCAUUGCGACGUUUUGCACGAUCGAAGGCCGGUCGUUCGGAUGAGAGUGCCCAGUGGGUCACUUUUGGUAAGCAGAACUGGCGCUGUGGGAUGAACCAAACGCCGGGUUACGGCGCCCGAUGCGAGACGCUCAUGAGACCCCAUGAAAGGUGUUGGUUGCUCCAGACAGCAGGACGGUGGCCAUGGAAGUCGGAAUCCGCUAAGGAGUGUGUAACAACUCACCUGCCGAAGCAACUAGCCCUGAAAAUGGAUGGCGCUCCAGCGUCGAGCCCAUACCCGGCCGCCGCGGCAGAGCUCCCCCCGGAGGUUUACGCCGCGGUGAGUAGGAGGGUCGCGGCGGGGAGCGUUGAAGGUGCCGGGCGCGAGCCCGCCUGGAGCCCCCGUCGGUGCAGAUCUUGGUGGUAGUAGCAAAUACUCAAGUGAGAACCUUGAGGACUGAAGUUGGAGAAGGGUUCCAUGUGAACAGCAGUUGAACAUGGGUCAGUCGGCCCUAAGGUAUCGGAGAAGUCCGUUCCGAAGCGGGACCUUGACCCGACUGUCGAAGCAGUCCCGCGCCGGCCGAAAGGGAAUGGGGUCAAUAUUCCCCGACCCGGACACGGAGAUCGGGCCCUCGGGCCCAAGUGCGGCGACGCAACCGAACUCGGAGAAGUCGACGGAGGACCCGGGGAAGAGUUGUCUUUUCUUUGUAAGGGUUCGUGUCCCUGGAAUCGGCUCGUCCGGAGAUAGGGACGCUGUUCCCGUAAAAGCACCGCGGCUCUUGCGGUGUCCGGUCCGCCUCUGUCGGCCCUUGCAAAUCCGAGGGAGAUGGUGUUAUUUUCGUGCCGGACCGUACCCAUAUCCGCAGCAGGUCUCCAAGGUGAACAGCCUCUAGUCGAUA
This 1285-nucleotide ribosomal RNA is filed under the name Ischalea sp. CG119. RNAcentral describes it as "eukaryotic LSU rRNA". It matches the Rfam family "Eukaryotic large subunit ribosomal RNA", at positions 702 to 1892 of the family's 3401-position model. Lineage: Eukaryota; Metazoa; Arthropoda; Arachnida; Araneae; Stiphidiidae. The record is from RNAcentral.